GGGGAAUCUUGCGCAAUGGGCGAAAGCCUGGCGCAGCAACGCCGCGUGGGGGAUGAAGGCUCUCGGGUCGUAAACCCCUUUCAGUGGGAACGAAAUUGACGGUACCCACAGAAGAAGCACCGGCCAACUACGUGCCAGCAGCCGCGGUAACACGUAGGGUGCAAGCGUUGUCCGGAUUUAUUGGGCGUAAAGGGCCCGUAGGCGGUUUGAUAAGUCGGGUGUGAAAACUCCAGGCUCAACCUGGAGACGCCACUCGAUACUGUCAUGACUUGAGUCUGGUAGGGGAGUGCGGAAUUCCUGGUGUAGCGGUGAAAUGCAUAGAUAUCAGGAGGAACACCGGUGGCGAAGGCGGCACUCUGGGCCGGUACUGACGCUGAUGGGCGAAAGCGUGGGGAGCAAAC
This 401-nucleotide ribosomal RNA is filed under the name uncultured bacterium. Its description in RNAcentral is "bacterial SSU rRNA". It matches the Rfam family "Bacterial small subunit ribosomal RNA", at positions 356 to 773 of the family's 1533-position model. The record is from RNAcentral.